This 500-nucleotide ribosomal RNA is filed under the name uncultured bacterium. RNAcentral describes it as "partial 16S ribosomal RNA". It matches the Rfam family "Bacterial small subunit ribosomal RNA", at positions 30 to 523 of the family's 1533-position model. The record is from RNAcentral.
AUUGAACGCUGGCGGAAUGCUUUACACAUGCAAGUCGAACGGCAGCACGGGGGCAACCCUGGUGGCGAGUGGCGAACGGGUGAGUAAUACAUCGGAACGUGCCCAGUCGUGGGGGAUAACGCAGCGAAAGCUGUGCUAAUACCGCAUACGAUCUAUGGAUGAAAGCGGGGGACCGUAAGGCCUCGCGCGAUUGGAGCGGCCGAUGGAAGAUUAGGUAGUUGGUGGGGUAAAGGCUCACCAAGCCGACGCUCGGUAGCUGGUCUGAGAGGACGACAAGCCAAACUGGGACUGAGACACGGCACAGACUCCUACGGGAGGCAGCAGUGAGGAAUUUUGGACAAUGGGCGCAAUCCUGAUCCAGCCAUUCCGCGUGCAGGAUGAAGGCCCUCGGGUUGUAAACUGCUUUUGUACGGAACGAAAAGCCUUCUUCUAAUACAGGAGGGUCAUGACGGUACCGUAAGAAUAAGCACCGGCUAACUACGUGCCAGCCGCCGCGGUAA